This 301-nucleotide ribosomal RNA is filed under the name uncultured bacterium. RNAcentral's name for it is "partial 16S ribosomal RNA". It matches the Rfam family "Bacterial small subunit ribosomal RNA", at positions 509 to 807 of the family's 1533-position model. The record is from RNAcentral.
CAGCCGCCGCGGUAAUACGGAGGGUGCAAGCGUUAUCCGGAUUUAUUGGGUUUAAAGGGUCCGUAGGCGGACUUAUAAGUCAGUGGUGAAAGCCUGUCGCUUAACGAUAGAACUGCCAUUGAUACUGUAAGUCUUGAGUAUAUUUGAGGUAGCUGGAAUAAGUAGUGUAGCGGUGAAAUGCAUAGAUAUUACUUAGAACACCAAUUGCGAAGGCAGGUCACUAAGAUUUAACUGACGCUGAUGGACGAAAGCGUGGGGAGCGAACAGGAUUAGAGACCCGUGUAGUCCCUGUCUCUUAUAC